RNAcentral lists this ribosomal RNA (396 nucleotides) under Notochlamys hexactes. RNAcentral describes it as "partial 12S ribosomal RNA". It matches the Rfam family "Bacterial small subunit ribosomal RNA", at positions 778 to 1407 of the family's 1533-position model. The record is from RNAcentral. Lineage: Eukaryota; Metazoa; Mollusca; Bivalvia; Pectinida; Pectinidae.
UUAGGUACCCAUUUAUUCCGACGCAAACUUUGCUAUGGUGGCUGCUUGAGUACUACGAGUGCUUAAAACUCAAAGAAUUUGGCGGCUCGUUAACUACCUAGGGGAAUAUGUGCCUUAAUCCGAUGUUACCCGUUGUAUCUUACUGCGCCUUGAAAAAGAACAGUUGGUGUAUUGCCGUUGUCAGCUUGUUGUGGAGCAAAAGUAACAGGCUUGGUGGGAUUAUAACCCAUGAAUUCAGGUCGAAAUGCUGCCUAUGGUGCAAGGGAGUAGGUGUUACAAUUUUGAGUUAAAAUAACGGAUCUCGAAGUUCGGAAGGUGGACUUAGGAGUAAGUGAGGAUUAGCAUGCCCCUCUGAACUGAAUCUAACUUGUGUACAAACCGCCCGUCGCUCUCGCC